RNAcentral lists this ribosomal RNA (627 nucleotides) under uncultured Russulaceae. Its description in RNAcentral is "LSU rRNA". It matches the Rfam family "Eukaryotic large subunit ribosomal RNA", at positions 47 to 649 of the family's 3401-position model. The record is from RNAcentral. Lineage: Eukaryota; Fungi; Basidiomycota; Agaricomycetes; Russulales; Russulaceae.
UAAGCGGAGGAAAAGAAACUAACAAGGACUCCCCUAGUAACUGCGAGUGAAGCGGGAAAAGCUCAAAUUUAAAAUCUGGCGGUCUUUGGCCGUCCGAGUUGUAAUUUAGAGAAGCGUCUUCCGCGCUGGACCGUGCACAAGUCUCCUGGAAUGGAGCGUCAUAGAGGGUGAGAAUCCCGUCUUUGGCACGGAUGCCUGGUGCUUCUGUGAUGCGCUCUCGAAGAGUCGAGUUGUUUGGGAAUGGAGCUCAAAAUGGGUGGUGAACUCCAUCUAAAGCUAAAUAUUGGCGAGAGACCGAUAGCGAACAAGUACCGUGAGGGAAAGAUGAAAAGCACUUUGGAAAGAGAGUGAAACAGUACGUGAAAUUGUUGAAAGGGAAACGCUUGAAGUCAGUCGCGUCGACCGAGACUCAGCCUUGCCUUGGCUUGGUGUACUUCUCGGCCCGACGGGUCAGCAUCAAUUUUGCCCCUCGGAUAAUGGCAAGGGAAAGGUGGCACCUUUACGGGUGUGUUAUAGUCUCCUGUCGAAUGCGAGGGGUGGGAUUGAGGAACUCAGCGCGCACCUCAGUGUCGGGGCUUCGGCCCACGUCACGCGCUUAGGAUGCUGGCGUAAUGGCUUUAAACGACC